UACGUAGGGGGCAAGCGUUGUCCGGAAUUAUUGGGCGUAAAGAGCGUGUAGGCGGUCCGGUAAGUCAGCUGUGAAAGUCAAGGGCUCAACCCUUGAAAGCCGGUUGAUACUGUCGGGCUAGAGUCCGGAAGAGGCGAGUGGAAUUCCCGGUGUAGCGGUGAAAUGCGCAGAUAUCGGGAGGAACACCAAUGGCGAAGGCAGCUCGCUGGGACGGUACUGACGCUGAGAGACGAAAGCUAGGGGAGCGAAUGGG
RNAcentral lists this ribosomal RNA (253 nucleotides) under uncultured bacterium. RNAcentral's name for it is "partial 16S ribosomal RNA". It matches the Rfam family "Bacterial small subunit ribosomal RNA", at positions 524 to 776 of the family's 1533-position model. The record is from RNAcentral.